UAUAGGUGCGACCUCUGCUGCAGCAGAUUCGAGAGUAAUUAUUCUGUAGGAGUCUGGAUUUUUAUUGGGUUCUUCCUUGAUGUAGGAUUGCAUUUUUGGAACUAAUUUUAGGCCAUCUAGGAUCACAUCAUCCCCUAUUCUUCAGAAAGAUUCAUCUUCGAAUCUUGACCUUAAUCAGAGGGGAAAGAUUAAUGACAACAACAGAAAUCACAACAUACUUGCUCGACUUGUUGACUUCAUCAUUGAUGUGUCCAUAAAUGGAAUCAUACUUCCUCUUAGAUCAUGCAAGAUAUCAUCACUAGAAACAAAAGAAUUAUCAGAUAAACAUCACUCAUUGUGGUGGCUGGCUUCAUCUCUUUCUUUUGUAUCUUUCGUGAUAGGAUGCUCGACCUCUGUAGGAGCUUAAAUCCCUUUUUGAACAGGAAGGUUCUUUGUCACAUCAUCAUAUGGUCAGACCAUCUCUUCGCUUAAUGCUCAUCGAACUAAGCUAUUCCAUUAAUCAAAUGGAUAUUGAAGUUUUUGCAUGUCGUGCUAUAGUUUGGUGAACUCUUUGCAAAAACUCAUUGUAAAAGAUUCCUAUAAAAGAAUGUUAAUGAAAGUAAAUAAAC
Molecule: long non-coding RNA, 608 nt
Filed under: Carica papaya (papaya)
Lineage: Eukaryota; Viridiplantae; Streptophyta; Magnoliopsida; Brassicales; Caricaceae
Description: long non-coding RNA (CPAP_LNC008281)
Source: RNAcentral